Molecule: long non-coding RNA, 482 nt
Filed under: Homo sapiens (human)
Lineage: Eukaryota; Metazoa; Chordata; Mammalia; Primates; Hominidae
Description: non-protein coding ITFG2-AS1:30
Source: RNAcentral
ACAGAUCCAGGCUGUCUCUUGCGGUGCGCAUGCACCUACCGUAUCGUUAUCAACGUCUCCGAGGCAGAUUGCGUGCGGGAAGAGGCUCCCGCUGAACUCCAGCGCCACGCGCUGCACGUAGCUAACUGACCUCAUGGCACCUCCAAGAGCAGAGGGAGCGGAGAGGCCCAGUAAAUAUUCCCUGAACCCCCGUCGCGACAGCCGCCAGAGCGGAAGGCCACCUAAGGCAGCAAGUUACGUCACUGCCUGAACCUCCAAUCUCUGCCUCUUCCUCCUUUAACCUUACAGAGGAGGCGGGUCUUCCGGGCUUGGAGGCGGGCUUCCCAACUCUGAUGUUCUGAGGUGUUUUGCAUUUGGAAAGGGAAAAUUAGUCACUGAGACGUAACAGGAAUAAGGUUUGAGAAGUUCUGCUUUCUAACUUUUUCCAGUAAUGACAUUUUCUAAAAAGAUACUACACUUUACUAGUCCUGCAUAAAGUGCCU